GGCCGGAUAAGGCGUUUACGCCGCAUCCGGCAUCCGGUGCUCAAUGCCUGAUGCGACGCUGACGCGUCUUAUCAGGCC
RNAcentral lists this non-coding RNA (78 nucleotides) under uncultured Escherichia sp. RNAcentral describes it as "Nucleoid-associated noncoding RNA 4 (CssrE)". It matches the Rfam family "Nucleoid-associated noncoding RNA 4 (CssrE)". From Rfam's summary of the family: In E. coli small RNA transcribed from repeated extragenic palindromic element (REP325) called nucleoid-associated ncRNA 4 (nRNA4) collaborates HU protein in condensing the DNA. The secondary structure but not the sequence of the RNA is important in nucleoid condensation. The record is from RNAcentral. Lineage: Bacteria; Pseudomonadati; Pseudomonadota; Gammaproteobacteria; Enterobacterales; Enterobacteriaceae.